Molecule: unclassified non-coding RNA, 726 nt
Filed under: Zea mays
Lineage: Eukaryota; Viridiplantae; Streptophyta; Magnoliopsida; Poales; Poaceae
Description: misc RNA Zm00001eb343230
Source: RNAcentral
CGUUGUCCUUGUCCUGGUGGUACUGAAAAUUGCAAUUGCAAUGGAUGGAUACAUGAGGAGAUGGUUUGGUUCAUACGUCAGUCAGAAAUGCUGCAUGCAGAUGUACUCUAUGCUGUGCUUGCUAUAUAGAUUGUCCACAGUUCAUCACAACAAUCUGGAUGGAUAGUCGAAAUAUAAUGCUACUAACAGCUACAGCCGAGGAUCUUUUUUUUAACUAUUGCAUUACUCUCUUUGUCGUGCUUGAUGAUAGAUAGGUAGAUCAAUAAUGCAAUUGCACGUUGCCUGUUGGUCCCCUUUAUCUGAACUGUACGCUUUCAGCUCUAUUGGCUCUGCUACUGUGCUACCUCCAAAACGGAUUCUGAUUUCUGAUCCUGAGGAUUUCCGCAUUGCAGGUUGCUGCCUAGAAUGCUGCGUCGUUUAGCUAGAAAUCCCUUACCAGCUAUCGAUUUAUUACAGCCGCUGGAAAGGCUUUGCUAUGCUGAAAGUUCAACAAGCAACAACGCAAGCAGAGCAUCUGAGUGGCAAUCUCGCCUGCAGCCUGCAGGCAACAAGAUCCACCCACCCCUGGCUGUUCUCGCGAGAUCCCAAGCCCCAGAAACCGAACCACUGGCGCUGCACCGAACAGCAACAGAAAGCAGCAAGGCGGACUGCGGAGUGCGGACAGGCAUGGCGACGGCGCGCGCGUGCACUGCACGUACGUACCCGGAGCACGAAGUUGUUCCAGAC